This is a long non-coding RNA of Oncorhynchus keta (chum salmon), 256 nucleotides long. RefSeq lists it as uncharacterized. The transcript has 3 exons. The record is from RefSeq and is a predicted model, not a curated record. NCBI's taxonomy places the organism in Eukaryota, Metazoa, Chordata, Actinopteri, Salmoniformes, Salmonidae.
UGUAAGGUUAGACAGGUUGUGUGUAUCUGACCACUACUGUGGUAGGGUUGUAAGGUUAGACAGGUUGUGUGUAUCUGACCACUACUGUAGUAGGGUUGUAAGGUUAGACAGGUUGUGUGUAUCUGACCACUACUGUGGUAGGGUUGUAAGGUUAGACAGGUUGUGUGUAUCUGACCACUACUGUAGUAGGGUUGUAAGGUUAGACAGGUUGUGUGUAUCUGACCACUACUGUGGUAGGGUUGUAAGGUUAGACAGG